Molecule: long non-coding RNA, 1175 nt
Organism: Numida meleagris (helmeted guineafowl)
Lineage: Eukaryota; Metazoa; Chordata; Aves; Galliformes; Numididae
Source: Ensembl
UAGCUGCUAAUUCUCUUCCCCUUCAGUGUCACAUUGAAUCAAAAGUUCUCAUUUUUAUUUUCUUUAUGCUUUGUUUCAAAGCUAAAUGGGCUGUACAUAUUACUGGCCUUAAUCCUUCAUGGAACCAGCACAAAUUGACAUCUGACACAUCUCUGGUAUUUGCUAUGUGUGCAGGUAGCAACCAGUGGCACCAUCCAGUCAUCUCCCAUAUCCCAUCAGAUAGGAUCCCUACCAGAGAUAUGGCAGUGUCUCCAUUCUCAACUACUGCUCAGUCCAGCAAGUCUGGAGGAGGACUCAGGAUGUCACCUCCAUUUCUUCUCUAGUUGUUGAAUGACUGUAGAAAAUACGUGAAUGAAUAUAGAAAAUACGUGAGAGGGCACAGUGCUGGUGGUGGUGUCAGAGGGCUUUUGCAAGGGCAUGGCUUCUCUAUCGCAAGACGUGAGGAGGUAUGUGGUGCUCAUGACCGACCACUUCUGAGAAGCUGAAAAGGCUUUAAUUUUCUCCACCAUUCUUUUUUUCUUUUUCUUCUGCUCCCAUUGCUCUUGUAAUUUGUCUCACUGAUGUACACAUUCACAGUGCUUUGUUUUCUCUCUGGAUCCACAUUGCAAAGGAGGAACUGAGAAAAGCAUCUUUCCUUCUAUCUAGAAAGAAAGAGUGCAGGAGAAUAUUCACCCCUUUAAUCUGACACAGAACUGGAGGUCAGACUCCUCUGCACUCAUCUUAUGCAGGAAGUAUUUACAGUCUUAUUCAUCUGCAUGUAAAAUUCAGCACACAAAUAUAGAAUGACAGAAGUAGGUGCUAUUUUUUCGAUUAUUCUUAUUUUUUUGUAAAAAGUUUUAUUUAUUCACGGAAUUGUACCUUCCCAUAAUUCUUAUUGUUCUAUGACACUAGUCUUUUCCUUGUAUGAAUUGUCAUCUAGCAGCAUUAAUGCAUUAUGCUGUUAUUAAAAGCUAUUACAAUUAGUUUAGAACAGAGAAUAGAAGAUGCAAUUCUGAUCGUGCUCACGUUCUGUCUGUUGUAAAAUUAUGUGCUGAACUGGAUUGAAUAAUGUAAUUAUACAAGACUUGCUGCCAUGUAAUUAUACUCUCUUGACAAAAGUCAAUUUAUACAUCAAUUUGUAGUGUUUGAAUAACAGUUUCAAAAUAAAUUAUUCUAUUAAAAAGCCUCUAUAAUCA